RNAcentral lists this long non-coding RNA (353 nucleotides) under Elaeis guineensis (African oil palm). RNAcentral's name for it is "long non-coding RNA (EGUI_LNC062366)". Lineage: Eukaryota; Viridiplantae; Streptophyta; Magnoliopsida; Arecales; Arecaceae. The record is from RNAcentral.
CCCCUGGCGAGCCACCAUAACGGCCGCGAUCCUGCUCCACUUCCUGUAGCGGAUUCCGCGUAGCUCCAUCAUUCCCUGACAGGCCGCGGUAACCAUCGCAGCUCUGCUCCACUUCCUGUGGCGGAUUCCGCACAGCUCCACUACCCCCUGGCAGGCCACCAUAACGGCCACGAACCUGCUCCACCUCCUGCGACGGAUACCGGGCGAUUCUCCCAUCCGCUGGUAAGUCACGACAACGGAUGCUGCUCCACCCCUCGUAACAGAUUCCACGUGGCGAGCUGUGGUGAUGGCCACGAUUCCGCUCCACUACCUCUCGCAAUAAAUUUCUCCUGACAACGGGUGGCCCACGAUCC